This 96-nucleotide ribosomal RNA is filed under the name Staphylococcus hominis. Its description in RNAcentral is "partial 16S ribosomal RNA". It matches the Rfam family "Bacterial small subunit ribosomal RNA", at positions 1 to 95 of the family's 1533-position model. The record is from RNAcentral. Lineage: Bacteria; Bacillati; Bacillota; Bacilli; Caryophanales; Staphylococcaceae.
UUUAUGGAGAGUUUGAUCCUGGCUCAGGAUGAACGCUGGCGGCGUGCCUAAUACAUGCAAGUCGAGCGAACAGACGAGGAGCUUGCUCCUUUGACG